CACGCAGGCGGUUUGGCAAGUCGGAUGUGAAAACCCGAAGCUCAACUUCGGGCCUGCAUCCGAAACUGCCCGACUAGAGGUAGGUAGGGGAGAUCGGAAUUCCUGGUGUAGCGGUGAAAUGCGCAGAUAUCAGGAGGAACACCGGUGGCGAAGGCGGGUCUCUGGGCCUUACCUGACGCUCAGGUGCGAAAGCUAGGGGAGCGAACA
RNAcentral lists this ribosomal RNA (207 nucleotides) under uncultured bacterium. Its description in RNAcentral is "partial 16S ribosomal RNA". It matches the Rfam family "Bacterial small subunit ribosomal RNA", at positions 568 to 774 of the family's 1533-position model. The record is from RNAcentral.